This 532-nucleotide ribosomal RNA is filed under the name uncultured bacterium. RNAcentral describes it as "bacterial SSU rRNA". It matches the Rfam family "Bacterial small subunit ribosomal RNA", at positions 8 to 526 of the family's 1533-position model. The record is from RNAcentral.
AGAGUUUGAUCCUGGCUCAGGACGAACGCUGGCGGCGCGCUUAACACAUGCAAGUCGAGCGAGAACCUGGGCUUCGGCCCUGGGGACAGCGGCGAACGGGUGAGUAACACGUGGGUAAUCUGCCCUCGGCAUCGGGAUAGCCCGGGGAAACCCGGAUUAAUACCGGAUAGCCUCCGGAGCCUUCGGGCGCCGGAGAAAAGGUAGCUUCGGCCUCUGGCCGAGGAUGAGCCCGCGGCGGAUUAGCUUGUUGGCGGGGUAACGGCCCACCAAGGCGACGAUCCGUAGCUGGUCUGAGAGGACGAUCAGCCACACUGGGACUGAGACACGGCCCAGACUCCUACGGGAGGCAGCAGUGGGGAAUCUUGCGCUAAUGCGGGAAACCGUGACGCAGCGACGCCGCGUGGGGGAAGAAGGCCUUCGGGUUGUAAACCUCUUUCAGGAGGGACGAAGCUACUCGGGUGAAUAGCCCAGAGGGUGACGGUACCUCCAGAAGAAGCCCCGGCUAACUACGUGCCAGCCGCCGCGGUAAUAC